RNAcentral lists this ribosomal RNA (1542 nucleotides) under Escherichia coli. Its description in RNAcentral is "bacterial SSU rRNA". It matches the Rfam family "Bacterial small subunit ribosomal RNA". Lineage: Bacteria; Pseudomonadati; Pseudomonadota; Gammaproteobacteria; Enterobacterales; Enterobacteriaceae. The record is from RNAcentral. RNAcentral also lists the same sequence under 3 other names.
AAAUUGAAGAGUUUGAUCAUGGCUCAGAUUGAACGCUGGCGGCAGGCCUAACACAUGCAAGUCGAACGGUAACAGGAAGCAGCUUGCUGCUUUGCUGACGAGUGGCGGACGGGUGAGUAAUGUCUGGGAAACUGCCUGAUGGAGGGGGAUAACUACUGGAAACGGUAGCUAAUACCGCAUAAUGUCGCAAGACCAAAGAGGGGGACCUUCGGGCCUCUUGCCAUCGGAUGUGCCCAGAUGGGAUUAGCUAGUAGGUGGGGUAACGGCUCACCUAGGCGACGAUCCCUAGCUGGUCUGAGAGGAUGACCAGCCACACUGGAACUGAGACACGGUCCAGACUCCUACGGGAGGCAGCAGUGGGGAAUAUUGCACAAUGGGCGCAAGCCUGAUGCAGCCAUGCCGCGUGUAUGAAGAAGGCCUUCGGGUUGUAAAGUACUUUCAGCGGGGAGGAAGGGAGUAAAGUUAAUACCUUUGCUCAUUGACGUUACCCGCAGAAGAAGCACCGGCUAACUCCGUGCCAGCAGCCGCGGUAAUACGGAGGGUGCAAGCGUUAAUCGGAAUUACUGGGCGUAAAGCGCACGCAGGCGGUUUGUUAAGUCAGAUGUGAAAUCCCCGGGCUCAACCUGGGAACUGCAUCUGAUACUGGCAAGCUUGAGUCUCGUAGAGGGGGGUAGAAUUCCAGGUGUAGCGGUGAAAUGCGUAGAGAUCUGGAGGAAUACCGGUGGCGAAGGCGGCCCCCUGGACGAAGACUGACGCUCAGGUGCGAAAGCGUGGGGAGCAAACAGGAUUAGAUACCCUGGUAGUCCACGCCGUAAACGAUGUCGACUUGGAGGUUGUGCCCUUGAGGCGUGGCUUCCGGAGCUAACGCGUUAAGUCGACCGCCUGGGGAGUACGGCCGCAAGGUUAAAACUCAAAUGAAUUGACGGGGGCCCGCACAAGCGGUGGAGCAUGUGGUUUAAUUCGAUGCAACGCGAAGAACCUUACCUGGUCUUGACAUCCACGGAAGUUUUCAGAGAUGAGAAUGUGCCUUCGGGAACCGUGAGACAGGUGCUGCAUGGCUGUCGUCAGCUCGUGUUGUGAAAUGUUGGGUUAAGUCCCGCAACGAGCGCAACCCUUAUCCUUUGUUGCCAGCGGUCCGGCCGGGAACUCAAAGGAGACUGCCAGUGAUAAACUGGAGGAAGGUGGGGAUGACGUCAAGUCAUCAUGGCCCUUACGACCAGGGCUACACACGUGCUACAAUGGCGCAUACAAAGAGAAGCGACCUCGCGAGAGCAAGCGGACCUCAUAAAGUGCGUCGUAGUCCGGAUUGGAGUCUGCAACUCGACUCCAUGAAGUCGGAAUCGCUAGUAAUCGUGGAUCAGAAUGCCACGGUGAAUACGUUCCCGGGCCUUGUACACACCGCCCGUCACACCAUGGGAGUGGGUUGCAAAAGAAGUAGGUAGCUUAACCUUCGGGAGGGCGCUUACCACUUUGUGAUUCAUGACUGGGGUGAAGUCGUAACAAGGUAACCGUAGGGGAACCUGCGGUUGGAUCACCUCCUUA